UCAAACCCUGCAUAGCAGAACAACCGCGAACACGUUGAAAAACAUAUUCUGGGUAUGUGUGUUCGGGAUUAGGCGAGAGCCCCCCGUGUACGCAGCCCAGCCUUGUGGUGCAGCAGCGAGUGAGCGAAAGCCUGUGAGCUCUGGACCCAAGUAACUAACCCCGGCGCAAUUCGCGCCAAGGAAAAAAUUAAACUCAAGGGCAUGCUAUCCUCUUUUUGCCCCCGUUUUCGGGUGUGUGACUGGGUGUUUGGCAGCUUCUUAGUGAAAACACAAAACGACUCUCGGCAACGGAUAUCUCGGCUCUCGCAUCGAUGAAGAACGUAGCGAAAUGCGAUACUUGGUGUGAAUUGCAGAAUCCCGUGAACCAUCGAGUCUUUGAACGCAAGUUGCGCCCGAAGCCUUUAGGUCGAGGGCACGUCUGCAUGGGCGUCACGCAUCGCGUCGCCCCCAAAAAACAUCUUGCACUUUCAWGUGCUUGCUUGAUGGGGAGCGUAGAUUGGCCUCCCGUGCCUCUCCGUGCGGCUGGCUCAAAAUGGAGUCCCUCGUGAAGGACGCACGACAAGUGGUGGUUGAUAAUAAGGCCCUCGCGUUUUGUCGUCCGGUAAUCCUUUGCGGGUGUAAUGACCCUGAUGACACACCUUCACGAUCACACCCUAGCGGUKCUUGAUGGUGGAAAUGUGCUCCGACCGCGA
This 692-nucleotide unclassified non-coding RNA is filed under the name Phyteuma scorzonerifolium. RNAcentral's name for it is "sequence contains ITS1, 5.8S rRNA gene and ITS2". The stretch from base 277 to 432 matches the Rfam family "5.8S ribosomal RNA". The record is from RNAcentral. Lineage: Eukaryota; Viridiplantae; Streptophyta; Magnoliopsida; Asterales; Campanulaceae.